CCAAAUGAGGUGGGAGCAGGGGGUAUGGAAUAAGAAGAGGUGUGCAAAUAGAAAAGAGGCUGGUAACACAAUUCUGAUGAACACGGGACAAGAAGGAGUGAAAAGAAUAGAUGACAAAGGCGGACUAAAAGAGAAAGAAGAGAGAGCGACAGCUCCAAAGAAAGUAAAUUGACAUGGUGUGGAUGGCAGAGGCAGCGACGCAGAGGGAAAUCUCUGUGAGAGCUCCUGAUCGUCUGCAUGGAAAUGUGCAUGCAUGGUGCCGCUCUCCGCGUUAUGGAUGUCAGAAACCAUGGCCGUUGCCAUGGUGAUGCCACACUGCAAUAUUCUUUUGCAGCCCGCCCGCCGAUGCUUGCAGCAGCUUCCAAGCCGGGAAAAAACGAUAGAGGAGGGAGGGGAAGCAAGAGGAGGCAAAGGAAAGAGUAGAGUAGAGGGGGUCUGCGGCAGGAUCCACCAGAAUGCUAAUCAUCCUUUCUCGAUGGUUUGUCCUUCAUUAUGAAGGAGACAAUGCCCAGGACAACAAGAAAGGGCGUUAAUA
Larimichthys crocea (large yellow croaker) is the source of this 535-nucleotide long non-coding RNA. RefSeq lists it as uncharacterized. The transcript is spliced from 3 exons. NCBI's taxonomy places the organism in Eukaryota, Metazoa, Chordata, Actinopteri, Sciaenidae. The record is from RefSeq and is a predicted model, not a curated record.